This 398-nucleotide ribosomal RNA is filed under the name uncultured bacterium. RNAcentral's name for it is "partial 16S ribosomal RNA". It matches the Rfam family "Bacterial small subunit ribosomal RNA", at positions 523 to 918 of the family's 1533-position model. The record is from RNAcentral.
AUACGUAGGGUGCGAGCGUUGUCCGGAAUUACUGGGCGUAAAGAGCUCGUAGGUGGUUUGUCGCGUCGUCUGUGAAAUUCCGGGGCUUAACUCCGGGCGUGCAGGCGAUACGGGCAUAACUUGAGUACUGUAGGGGAGACUGGAAUUCCUGGUGUAGCGGUGCAAUGCGCAGAUAUCAGGAGGAACACCGGUGGCGAAGGCUGGUCGCUGGGCAGGAACUGACGCUGAGGAGCGAAAGCAUGGGUAGCGAACAGGAUUAGAUACCCUGGUAGUCCAUGCCGUAAACGGUGGGCGCUAGGUGUAGGGGCCUUCCACGACUUCUGUGCCGUAGCUAACGCAUUAAGCGCCCCGCCUGGGGAGUACGGCCGCAAGGCUAAAACUCAAAUGAAUUGACGGGG